This 202-nucleotide long non-coding RNA is filed under the name Salvia miltiorrhiza (redroot sage). RNAcentral's name for it is "long non-coding RNA (SMIL_LNC013819)". Lineage: Eukaryota; Viridiplantae; Streptophyta; Magnoliopsida; Lamiales; Lamiaceae. The record is from RNAcentral.
CCCAAAAGCACCGUUUGUUAACUUAAUUAUGAAGAAUAUAUAAUCUAAUGGCAAUGAAACCACCACGCUUAGUCUACCCAAUCAUAGUAUCUCGACGGGAUAGGCCAAUAAAAGAAACAAAACAGAGGAAUUAAGCAUCACAUCAUCAAUGUAGUUUAUCAUUGAGCAGUCUAUAUGCAGAUACUUCCAUGUCCAUCUUAAA